UAAAAAGCAUUGAACAGUUCAGUAGUUGCCGGUCGUUAGCCUUAGCGAGUCUGAGAUGGUGUGAGCAGACCUAAUCCGGUAUCACGAAUAUCGACUGUGAGUUGUAUGGGUGAAAUCAAGUAACCCGUACUGGUUAACACCCACUAACGUGUGGUACAUCUUUCAUGAUGUGCUUAAGGUCAGUAAUGUAAAUUGCUGAUGAAUACCGGUGGUAACCCGCGCUCGCGUCCGGCAG
This 235-nucleotide non-coding RNA is filed under the name Lactiplantibacillus plantarum. Lineage: Bacteria; Bacillati; Bacillota; Bacilli; Lactobacillales; Lactobacillaceae. The record is from RNAcentral.